RNAcentral lists this unclassified non-coding RNA (200 nucleotides) under soil metagenome. Its description in RNAcentral is "partial contains internal transcribed spacer 2 and large subunit ribosomal RNA". The record is from RNAcentral.
UGUUCGAGCGUCAUUACAACCCUCAAGCUCUGCUUGGUAUUGGGCCAGCCCCCAGGGGCUCUCCCCAAAUUCAGUGGCGGUGCCUGUCGGCUUCAAGCGUAGUAAUUUCUCUCGCUUCGGAGGACCGGCGGUCCCUUGCCAGCAACCCCCAAUUUUCUAUGGUUGACCUCGGAUCAGGUAGGGAUACCCGCUGAACUUAA